Molecule: long non-coding RNA, 1030 nt
Filed under: Olea europaea (common olive)
Lineage: Eukaryota; Viridiplantae; Streptophyta; Magnoliopsida; Lamiales; Oleaceae
Description: long non-coding RNA (OEUR_LNC012464)
Source: RNAcentral
CACCACCAAGUUCUUGGGUGCAUCUCUAACUAAGAUUUUUUUGGUCAUCUAAUACAGCUGCUUUUACAACAAAAAUGGGUUAUUAACAUAUCCAACUAUAUACAUUAGCACUAUAUUUCUGGUAUAGAAUCUGGAAACAAAAUAUAAACAAAAUAAUUUGCACAGGCCUGCUGAUUACUUAUUCUACAAUAGUCUGUAUUAAGAGCCAUUCUCUACUGUACAUUGGCAUCGCGCCCUUCUUCAGCUGCCAUGCAUAACCGAAUUAGCACUUGCGACAGACAAGUUGAAGAUGAUCGCCACCCACUUGAUGAGUCGCGGAGUUGCAUCCUCCGCAGCUCAUGGUCUGAGACCACCACCCAGCUCGGGCCCAGGCAGUUAUUAUACCUGUCCUGGGGUAGGGUUAGGGGUAGCCAUAAAUGCAGGUUCAAUGUUCUCAUUUAUGCUCUUUGUCAGCCUCUUCAAUCUCUUUGGUCUUUGUUGCGUCAUGUCCAUGUGCCGAGAGAGAUCGUCCAGCUCAUAGUCCAUUGGCACUUUGCUAGAUAAGGAGUCAGCAUUUUUGGAGUUCUUUCGAGCCCUAGGUUUCAGUCGAGUUCGCUUGUCUGAGGCUGUUUUCCUCUGCAGAUAGACAAGAUAGGCAUAUUAUUUACAUGUCAUGAUAUGCAGACAAAUCUAAUUAUCUAUUCAAGAAAAUGUCCAUUGCCAGUGAAAUAUUUCAUCAAGUAUAUUGAUCUCAGUUGGUGUAUAAUCCAAAGAGCAUAAAUAUGUAAAAAGAAAUAAAAACUAAAAUACUCGUUAGGUGAAAAUACAUUUCAAAGUAUGUAUCAGAUUCUGGAACAUUGUAUUCCAAUUUCCAUCCUACUCAGAAAAAUUGAUGAUACUCAGGACUCAGGAGUCAUCUAGUUUGGUUAAAAUGUUAUAGGAUCCCAUGACAACAAACAAAGCAGUAAUUUGAAACGGAGAAGAGAAUGUUUGGACAAGCUUAAAAAUAGGUAAGAGUUAUAUUAACAACUUCAGUCUUCUUGAAUCCAAA